UACGGAGGGUGCAAACGUUGCUCGGAAUCAUUGGGCGUAAAGCGCACGUAGGUGGCCUGUUAAGUCGGGUGUGAAAGCCCGGGGCUUAACCCCGGAAUUGCACCUCAAACUACAUGGCUAGAGCAUUGGAGAGGGUAGCAGAAUUCAUGGUGUAGCAGUGAAAUGCGUAGAUAUCAUGAGGAAUACCAGAGGCGAAGGCGGCUACCUGGACAAUUGCUGACGCUCAGGCACGAAAGCGUGGGGAGCAAAAGGG
RNAcentral lists this ribosomal RNA (253 nucleotides) under uncultured bacterium. Its description in RNAcentral is "partial 16S ribosomal RNA". It matches the Rfam family "Bacterial small subunit ribosomal RNA", at positions 524 to 776 of the family's 1533-position model. The record is from RNAcentral.